Molecule: ribosomal RNA, 399 nt
Filed under: Sphaeroforma tapetis
Lineage: Eukaryota; Ichthyosporea; Ichthyophonida
Description: partial small subunit ribosomal RNA
Rfam family: Eukaryotic small subunit ribosomal RNA
Source: RNAcentral
GCUUGUCUCAAAGAUUAAGCCAUGCAUGUCUUAGUGUAAAUAACUCUUAUGAAACUGCGAAUGGCUCAUUAAAUCAGUUAUCAAAUACGUGAUGGUCGCCUACUACAUGGAUAACCGUAGUAAUUCUAGAGCUAAUACAUGCGUAAAAACCCGACUUCGGAAGGGUUGUAUUUAUUAGAUACAAAACCAACGCAGGGCUUGCCCUGGUUUUUGGUGAUUCAUAAUAACUUUUCGGAUCGCAUGGCGCAAGCCGGCGACGUUUCAUUCAAAUUUCUGCCCUAUCAACUUUCGAUGGUAAGGUAUUGGCUUACCAUGGUUACAACGGGUAACGGAGAAUUAGGGUUCGAUUCCGGAGAGGGAGCCUGAGAAACGGCUACCACUUCCAAGGAAGGCAGCAGG